GCGUACGGGUGCGGAGCACGUGUGCAACCUGCCUUUAUCUGGGGGAUAGCCUUUCGAAAGGAAGAUUAAUACCCCAUAAUAUGUUGGAUGGCAUCAUUCGACGAUUGAAAACUCCGGUGGAUAGAGAUGGGCACGCGCAAGAUUAGAUAGUUGGUGAGGUAACGGCUCACCAAGUCUACGAUCUUUAGGGGGCCUGAGAGGGUGAUCCCCCACACUGGUACUGAGACACGGACCAGACUCCUACGGGAGGCAGCAGUGAGGAAUAUUGGACAAUGGGUGAGAGCCUGAUCCAGCCAUCCCGCGUGAAGGACGACUGCCCUAUGGGUUGUAAACUUCUUUUGUAUAGGGAUAAACCUACCCUCGUGAGGGUAGCUGAAGGUACUAUACGAAUAAGCACCGGCUAACUCCGUGCCAGCAGCCGCGGUAAUACGGAGGGUGCAAGCGUUAUCCGGAUUUAUUGGGUUUAAAGGGUCCGUAGGCGGAUCUGUAAGUCAGUGGUGAAAUCUCACAGCUUAACUGUGAAACUGCCAUUGAUACUGCAGGUCUUGAGUGUUGUUGAAGUAGCUGGAAUAAGUAGUGUAGCGGUGAAAUGCAUAGAUU
RNAcentral lists this ribosomal RNA (600 nucleotides) under uncultured bacterium. RNAcentral's name for it is "bacterial SSU rRNA". It matches the Rfam family "Bacterial small subunit ribosomal RNA", at positions 98 to 696 of the family's 1533-position model. The record is from RNAcentral.